Molecule: long non-coding RNA, 605 nt
Filed under: Lactuca sativa (garden lettuce)
Lineage: Eukaryota; Viridiplantae; Streptophyta; Magnoliopsida; Asterales; Asteraceae
Description: long non-coding RNA (LSAT_LNC006334)
Source: RNAcentral
UGUCACCUUGUCCAGUAAAAGAAACCUGAACUUCUUAAACAUAAGAUGAUUUUGAUAAGUAGAUUGUAUAANAACUUAAUAAAUAUAACAUUAUAACAUGAAACUAUGAUUAAAAUAACCCUUUGAUCUGAGAAGUUCAUUGAUAUGAGGUUAGGGACUUGAAGGAUGCCAUGUUGCAAGAAACCCUUUAAGCCUUUUACAGAACUCACUGCAUAAAUCUGUUGUGGUGCUUGAGAGAUCAAUAGAGCUGAAAAAAUGAAAAAAUAUAUUCAAUUUCAGACAUAUGCAAAACCAAUCUAUGUUCUUGCAUACAUACACAUACACACAUAAAACUAAUAAUUGAGGGAUGAAGAACUAACCUGUAAUCCAAUCCAAUCUGUAUGUUUGCUACAUACACAAACAGCCAAAUACCACUAUCUGCUCCAUUCAUUUUUGCUACAACCACCAAACACCACCAUUGACCACCUUCUUGUUUGCAUAUGUUCUGAACCAUCACAUGCUCAGCUACUCCACCAUUUUAGCAACAUAAACAACCAAGAACCAGAACAAAACCACCUACAUCUUCAAUCCAUCGUUCUUGAUAACUUCACAAAUGAUCAAGGGAC